This 510-nucleotide ribosomal RNA is filed under the name uncultured bacterium. Its description in RNAcentral is "partial 16S ribosomal RNA". It matches the Rfam family "Bacterial small subunit ribosomal RNA", at positions 28 to 507 of the family's 1533-position model. The record is from RNAcentral.
GACGAACGCUGGCGGCGUGCUUAACACAUGCAAGUCGAACGAAGAGCGAUGGAAGCUUGCUUCUAUCAAUCUUAGUGGCGAACGGGUGAGUAACGCGUAAUCAACCUGCCCUUCAGAGGGGGACAACAGUUGGAAACGACUGCUAAUACCGCAUACGAUCUAAUCUCGGCAUCGAGGAUAGAUGAAAGGUGGCCUCUACAUGUAAGCUAUCACUGAAGGAGGGGAUUGCGUCUGAUUAGCUAGUUGGAGGGGUAACGGCCCACCAAGGCGAUGAUCAGUAGCCGGUCUGAGAGGAUGAACGGCCACAUUGGGACUGAGACACGGCCCAGACUCCUACGGGAGGCAGCAGUGGGGAAUCUUCCGCAAUGGACGAAAGUCUGACGGAGCAACGCCGCGUGAGUGAUGACGGCCUUCGGGUUGUAAAGCUCUGUUAAUCGGGACGAAAGGCCUUCUUGCGAAUAGUGGGAAGGAUUGACGGUACCGGAAUAGAAAGCCACGGCUAACUACGUG